UACGUAGGGUGCAAGCGUUAAUCGGAAUUACUGGGCGUAAAGCGUGCGCAGGCGGUGAUGUAAGACAGGUGUGAAAUCCCCGGGCUUAACCUGGGAACUGCAUUUGUGACUGCAUCGCUGGAGUGCGGCAGAGGGGGAUGGAAUUCCGCGUGUAGCAGUGAAAUGCGUAGAUAUGCGGAGGAACACCGAUGGCGAAGGCAUCCCUCG
Molecule: ribosomal RNA, 207 nt
Filed under: uncultured bacterium
Lineage: Bacteria
Description: partial 16S ribosomal RNA
Rfam family: Bacterial small subunit ribosomal RNA
Source: RNAcentral